UGGCUCAGAUUGAACGCUGGCGGAAUGCUUUACACAUGCAAGUCGAACGGCAGCACGGACUUCGGUCUGGUGGCGAGUGGCGAACGGGUGAGUAACAUAUCGGAACGUAUCCAAUAAUGGGGGAUAACUAAUCGAAAGGUUGGCUAAUACCGCAUACGACCUACGGGUGAAAGGGGGCGCAAGCUCUUGCUAUUAGAUGAGCCUAAAUCAGAUUAGCUAGUUGGUGGGGUAAAGGCCCACCAAGGCGACGAUCUGUAACUGGUCUGAGAGGAUGAUCAGUCACACCGGAACUGAGACACGGUCCGGACUCCUACGGGAGGCAGCAGUGGGGAAUAUUGGACAAUGGGGGCAACCCUGAUCCAGCCAUGCCGCGUGUGUGAAGAAGGCCUUUUGGUUGUAAAGCACUUUAAGCAGGGAGGAGAGGCUAAUGGUUAAUACCCAUUAGAUUAGACGUUACCUGCAGAAUAAGCACCGGCUAACUCUGUG
This 486-nucleotide ribosomal RNA is filed under the name uncultured bacterium. Its description in RNAcentral is "bacterial SSU rRNA". It matches the Rfam family "Bacterial small subunit ribosomal RNA", at positions 20 to 507 of the family's 1533-position model. The record is from RNAcentral.